Molecule: long non-coding RNA, 932 nt
Organism: Epinephelus fuscoguttatus (brown-marbled grouper)
Lineage: Eukaryota; Metazoa; Chordata; Actinopteri; Perciformes; Serranidae
Exons: 3
Source: RefSeq, a predicted model, not a curated record
AAAGUGUCAAGUCAAUAGCACUUGUGGUGCGGCGGGCAGAGCCUUUCAAGCUUUACACUCUAUGUUAUAGCGCCCCCAUAAGGCCGAUUGGGACCAAAUUUUUUGAGCAGUAUUUGGAUGUCAUUUAUAGUCCAUGUACCACGUUUCAUGUCCCUAGGUCCUUCCAGCUGGUCAUAAAUUAAUAAAACGCAAAUUAUGACGGUUAAUGACGAAUAGGCCACGCCCACUUUCACCUAUCAACAUGGCACUCAAGAUUUUAACUAAUAGCCACCCCUAGAGCAUGCAUACCAAAUUUGGUGACAUUCCAUCCAAUGGUCUUUGAGAUACAGAUGUGUGGCAUUUAUAGCGCCCCCUAUAGGCUGAGCUCAAAAUGCUUUGGUAGGCAGCUUCCAAGUCUCAUUGUGGACGUACCCACCAAGUUUGGUGAUGAUAGGUCAAAGGGUGUGGGAGUUAUGGCCAAUCAAUUCUAAGCUCCGCCCACAGCAAAGAUUCAUUGGUCCGUGGCGGCCAUGUUUUUUGACCAAUCUGGCUCAUUUGUAAUAGAAAUGUGUCUUGUCAUCCCCCAAAGCCGUGUACCAACUUUGGUGUUGAUGGAGUCAAAAUUGUAAAAGUUUAUGUCAUUUUACUGUUUUUCAAAUUAUGCAAAUUAGCAAAAAUUCUGUAAGGGCGGCAUUCAUGGUGCAAUAGGCUUUUUUGUAGAGGACUAUCAGGAGGAUGUGUGUGUAAAAUUUCAAGUCAAUAGCACUUGUGGUGCGGCGGGCAGAGCCUUUCAAGCUUUACACUCUAUGUUAUAGCGCCCCCAUAAGGCCGAUUGGGACCAAAUUUUUUGAGCAGUAUUUGGAUGUCCUUUAUAGUCCAUGUACCACGUUUCAUGUCCCUAGGUCCUUCCAGCUGGUCAUAAAUUAAUAAAACGCAAAUUAUGAUGGUUAAUG